This 1624-nucleotide ribosomal RNA is filed under the name uncultured eukaryote. RNAcentral describes it as "SSU rRNA". It matches the Rfam family "Eukaryotic small subunit ribosomal RNA". The record is from RNAcentral.
UGUGUCAGAAUGUGUCUGUAUAGACGAAUCUGCGGACGGCUCAUUACAACAGUGAUCACAUAUUUGACGUUUUGAAAACGGAUAUCCGUGGGAAACCAAGGCUAAUACGGGUGAAAACCGGGGCUUUUUGUUCCGCGGUAUUUCCUGCUUAUUAAACCAAACGCGCUUUCGGGCGUGUGCGAGGAAUCGCAGGAACUUUUCGAAUCGAAUUAUCGAUGCGUCAUUUUGGUUUCUGACCUAUCAGCUUCCGACGGUAGGAUAUUGGCCUACCGUGGCAAUGACGGGUAACGGGGAAUUAGGGUUUGAUUCCGGAGAGGGCGCCUGAGAAAUGGCGACCACGUCUAAGGAUGGCAGCAGGCGCGCAAAUUACCCAAUCCUGGCAUAGGGAGGUAGUGACAAAAAAUAGCAACUCAAAGCAAACGCUUUGCAGAUUGCAAUGACAUUCGGCCAAAGCUCGUUUAGAGUAACAAUUGGAGGGCAAGUCUGGUGCCAGCAGCCGCGGUAAUUCCAGCUCCAAUAGCGUAUAUUAAAUUUGUUGCAGUUAAAAAGCUCGUAGUUGAAACGAUACGUUUGCUUCGCUGUUCUUUUCAGGGCGCGGAGCUUGCGCGGGCUUUUCGAAAGCCUCUGUUACUUUGAGAAAAUUUGAGUGUUUCAGGCGGGCCAGAGCUGAAAUAGUGUACCAUGGAAUAACACAGUGGUUGUCCCUCUCUUUCUUUGGUUUUGGACGGGACGAUGCGUGGUUGAUAGGAACAGUCGGGGGCAUUCGUAUUGAACAGUCAGAGGUGAAAUUCUUAGAUUUGUUCAAGACGAACUAAUGCGAAAGCAUCUGCCAAGGAUGUUUUCUUUAAUCAAGAACGAAAGUUAGGGGAUCCAAGACGAUCAGAUACCGUCGUAGUCUUAACUGUAAACUAUGCCGACUAGAGAUCGGUGGACAUCAUUACGGAGUCCUUCGGCACCUUAUGCGAAAUCAAAGCUAGGUUCUGGGGGGAGUAUGGUCGCAAGGCUGAAACUUAAAGGAAUUGACGGAAGGGCACCACCAGGAGUGGAGCCUGCGGCUUAAUUUGACUCAACACGGGAAAACUCACCAGGUCCAGACGUGGGAAGGAUUGACAGAUUGAGAGCUCUUUCUUGAUUCUACGGGUGGUGGUGCAUGGCCGUUCUUAGUUGGUGGAUUGAUUUGUCUGGUUGAUUCCGACAACGAACGAGACCUUCGCCGUUUAAUAGAAACGUUUUCUGAGGAUGGCGUUUUCUUCUUAACGGGACCUUGUGCGUCUAGCACAAUGAAGUGAAGGCAAUAACAGGUCUGUGAUGCCCUUAGAUGUUCUGGGCUGCACGCGUGCUACAAUGGCGCUUGCAACAAGACUGCCAACCCGAAAGGGUGAGCGGAUCUUUGAAGUGGCGUCGUGAUCGGGACAGUUGAUUGCAAUUAUUCGACUCGAACGAGGAAUUCCUUGUAAUCGCGAUUCAUUAUAUCGCGCUGAAUACGUCCCUGCCCUUUGUACACACCGCCCGUCGCUCCUACCGAUUGAGCGAUCCGGUGAAUGUUUUGGACUGGUGUCGGAAGCGUUAGCUUCGGACGCUACGAAAUUUCGUAAACCUUAUCGCUUAGAGGAAGGAAAAGUCG